RNAcentral lists this ribosomal RNA (345 nucleotides) under uncultured bacterium. RNAcentral describes it as "bacterial SSU rRNA". It matches the Rfam family "Bacterial small subunit ribosomal RNA", at positions 8 to 350 of the family's 1533-position model. The record is from RNAcentral.
AGAGUUUGAUCAUGGCUCAGGACGAACGCUGGCGGCGCGCCUAACACAUGCAAGUCGAACGAGAGAUGAGGAGCUUGCUCUUCAAAUCGAGUGGCGAACGGGUGAGUAACGCGUGAGGAACCUGCCUCAAAGAGGGGACGACAGUUGGAAACGACUGCUAAUACCGCAUAAGCCCACGGCUCGGCAUCGAGCAGAGGGAAAAGGAAUGAUCCGCUUUGAGAUGGCCUCGCGUCCGAUUAGCUAGUUGGUGAGGUAACGGCCACCAAGGCAACGAUCGGUAGCCGGACUGAGAGGUUGAACGGCCACAUUGGGACUGAGACACGGCCCAGACUCCUACGGGAGGCA